RNAcentral lists this ribosomal RNA (468 nucleotides) under uncultured bacterium. Its description in RNAcentral is "partial 16S ribosomal RNA". It matches the Rfam family "Bacterial small subunit ribosomal RNA", at positions 28 to 507 of the family's 1533-position model. The record is from RNAcentral.
GACGAACGCUGGCGGCGUGCUUAACACAUGCAAGUCGAACGGAAAGGCCCUGCUUUUGUGGGGUUCUCGAUUGGCGAACGGGUGAGUAACACGUGAGUAACCUGCCCUUGACUUUGGGAUAACUUCAGGAAACUGGGGCUAAUACCGGAUAGGAUCUCCUGCUGCAUGGUGGGGGUUGGAAAGUUUCGGCGGUUGGGGAUGGACUCGCGGCUUAUCAGCUAGUUGGUGGGGUAGUUGCUUACCAAGGCUUUGACGGGUAGCCGGCCUGAGAGGGUGAACGGGGACAAGAGGACUGAGAUAGGGAGCAGAAUGGUACGGUCGGCAGCGGUCGGGAGUCUUGCAGAGCGGCGGGACGCCUGAUGCGGAGGCGCCCGGUGCGUGAUAACGGCUUAUGGGGUAUAAACCAAUUUGGAAUGUGACAAGGCGUGAGUGACGGUAAUGGAUCAAGAAGCAACGGCUAACUACGUG